RNAcentral lists this transfer RNA (70 nucleotides) under Thosea sinensis. RNAcentral's name for it is "tRNA-Ala". Lineage: Eukaryota; Metazoa; Arthropoda; Insecta; Lepidoptera; Limacodidae. The record is from RNAcentral.
AGGAUUAUAGUUUAUUUAAAAAACAUUUAAUUUGCAAUUAAAAAAAAUUGUACUAAAUCAAUUUAUCUUA